This 468-nucleotide ribosomal RNA is filed under the name uncultured bacterium. RNAcentral describes it as "partial 16S ribosomal RNA". It matches the Rfam family "Bacterial small subunit ribosomal RNA", at positions 28 to 507 of the family's 1533-position model. The record is from RNAcentral.
GACGAACGCUGGCGGCGUGCCUAACACAUGCAAGUCGAACGGACAGGUCCUGCUUUUGUGGGGUGCUCGAGUGGCGAACGGGUGAGUAACACGUGAGUAACCUGUCCCUGACUUAGGGAUAACUUCAGGAAACUGGGGCUAAUACCGGAUAGGAGCUCUUGCUGCACGGUGGGGGUUGGUAAGUUUCGGCGGUUGGGGAUGGACUCGCGGCUUAUCAGCUUGUUGGUGGGGUAGUGGCUUACCAAGGCUUUGACGGGUAGCCGGCCUGAGAGGGUGACCGGCCACAUUGGGACUGAGAUACGGCCCAGACUCCUACGGGAGGCAGCAGUGGGGAAUAUUGCACAGUGGGCGGAAGCCUGAUGCAGCGACGCCGCGUGCGGGAUGACGGCCUUCGGGUUGUAAACCGCUUUCGCCUGUGACGAGGCGUGAGUGACGGUAAUGGGUAAAGAAGCACCGGCUAACUACGUG